Saccostrea cuccullata (small rock oyster) is the source of this 614-nucleotide long non-coding RNA. RefSeq lists it as uncharacterized. The record is from RefSeq and is a predicted model, not a curated record. Lineage: Eukaryota; Metazoa; Mollusca; Bivalvia; Ostreida; Ostreidae. The transcript has 3 exons.
GGGUUUGGAAAAGUUUUGGAAUUCCAUGGAAUUCCAAUUAUUUCUAUACCAAACUUGAAAAGUGUGUCUGGAAGUUUUUGGAAUAUUUUGGAAUUUGAAAAAAAAAUUGGACUUAGACAUUUUUUGGUUUGGAAAGUAGUGGAAUUCUUUGGAAAAAAUGAUAAAAUGAGAAACUUAGCCAUUUUCUGCGCUGGAAAACUGUGGAAAAUUACUUAGAUUUUUUUAACUGUCGAAUAAUAGUACAAUAACAUCGGGCUCGAAGUCGGGCUCGAUGAACAAUUAAUUUAAACAACACGCCGAAAUUCAAAAAUAUCGAAUGCCAUGUUGAUGUUGCACAGAAGGAAAGUUGGAAAGAGGGUGUCUAGAACAGGGGAAUCAUGUUUAGCUUUGGAUGGAAGAAGAUGAAGACAUUUUAAGAUCUGUUGCUGCAUAGUGCCUGAGAUGAUCACCACAGCGAUGGCGUUUUAUAACUUGGUGGAUGUAGAUGCUUAGCCAAUCAGUCACUAGGCUUGUGAAUAUGAUCAAACAUGCUGCAAUCAUCUACUAUGAAGUAACCAUCCAUUCUACAGGAAUCCCUAUGCUCACAAGGACAAGAGCUGGAUGAAAAAAAACCC